This 552-nucleotide ribosomal RNA is filed under the name uncultured Acidobacteriota bacterium. Its description in RNAcentral is "bacterial SSU rRNA". It matches the Rfam family "Bacterial small subunit ribosomal RNA", at positions 355 to 897 of the family's 1533-position model. The record is from RNAcentral. Lineage: Bacteria; Pseudomonadati; Acidobacteriota.
UGGGGAAUUGUUCGCAAUGGGCGCAAGCCUGACGACGCAACGCCGCGUGGAGGACGAAGAUCUUCGGGUCGUAAACUCCUGUCGAGCGGGACGAACACCCAUCCGGUGAAUAUCCGGGAGGGCUGACGGUACCGCUAAAGGAAGCCCCGGCUAACUCCGUGCCAGCAGCCGCGGUAAUACGGGGGGGGCAAGCGUUGUUCGGAAUUACUGGGCGUAAAGGGCUCGUAGGCGGCCAACUAAGUCCGACGUGAAAUCCCCAGGCUUAACCUGGGAACUGCGUCGGAUACUGGAUGGCUUGAAUUCGGGAGAGGGAUGCAGAAUUCCAGGUGUAGCGGUGAAAUGCGUAGAUAUCUGGAGGAAUACCGGUGGCGAAGGCGGCAUCCUGGACCGACAUUGACGCUGAGGAGCGAAAGCUAGGGGAGCAAACGGGAUUAGAUACCCCGGUAGUCCUAGCCCUAAACGAUGAAUGCUUGGUGUGGCGGGUAUCGAUCCCUGCCGUGCCGAAGCUAACGCAUUAAGCAUUCCGCCUGGGGAGUACGGUCGCAAGGCUGA